RNAcentral lists this ribosomal RNA (750 nucleotides) under Rhodococcus globerulus. RNAcentral's name for it is "bacterial SSU rRNA". It matches the Rfam family "Bacterial small subunit ribosomal RNA", at positions 19 to 786 of the family's 1533-position model. The record is from RNAcentral. Lineage: Bacteria; Bacillati; Actinomycetota; Actinomycetes; Mycobacteriales; Nocardiaceae.
CUGGCUCAGGACGAACGCUGGCGGCGUGCUUAACACAUGCAAGUCGAGCGGUAAGGCCCUUCGGGGUACACGAGCGGCGAACGGGUGAGUAACACGUGGGUGAUCUGCCCUGCACUUCGGGAUAAGCCUGGGAAACUGGGUCUAAUACCGGAUAUGACCUCCGAUCGCAUGGUUGGUGGUGGAAAGAUUUAUCGGUGCAGGAUGGGCCCGCGGCCUAUCAGCUUGUUGGUGGGGUAAUGGCCUACCAAGGCGACGACGGGUAGCCGACCUGAGAGGGUGACCGGCCACACUGGGACUGAGACACGGCCCAGACUCCUACGGGAGGCAGCAGUGGGGAAUAUUGCACAAUGGGCGAAAGCCUGAUGCAGCGACGCCGCGUGAGGGACGACGGCCUUCGGGUUGUAAACCUCUUUCAGCAGGGACGAAGCGCAAGUGACGGUACCUGCAGAAGAAGCACCGGCUAACUACGUGCCAGCAGCCGCGGUAAUACGUAGGGUGCAAGCGUUGUCCGGAAUUACUGGGCGUAAAGAGUUCGUAGGCGGUUUGUCACGUCGUUUGUGAAAACUCACAGCUCAACUGUGAGCCUGCAGGCGAUACGGGCAGACUUGAGUACUGCAGGGGAGACUGGAAUUCCUGGUGUAGCGGUGAAAUGCGCAGAUAUCAGGAGGAACACCGGUGGCGAAGGCGGGUCUCUGGGCAGUAACUGACGCUGAGGAACGAAAGCGUGGGUAGCGAACAGGAUUAGAUACC